This 133-nucleotide small RNA is filed under the name Ectopseudomonas mendocina. Its description in RNAcentral is "Pseudomonas mendocina Manganese sequence". It matches the Rfam family "Manganese Mn2+ riboswitch aptamer (yybP-ykoY)". From Rfam's summary of the family: This RNA was originally discovered in E. coli during a large scale screen and was named SraF. The family was later found to exist upstream of related families of protein genes in many bacteria, including the the yybP and ykoK genes in B. subtilis. Lineage: Bacteria; Pseudomonadati; Pseudomonadota; Gammaproteobacteria; Pseudomonadales; Pseudomonadaceae. The record is from RNAcentral.
GCGCCCGUCCUAGGGGAGUAGUCUCCCGCGAGCGCCCUGCUCGCCCGGCACGCGUCAACACACUUGCUCCGCAGAGCAUGGCGCGUGCGACCCAAGGCCUUCAUAGACAGGCCUGCGGUUUGACAAGACCUAU